Mesocricetus auratus (golden hamster) is the source of this 1104-nucleotide long non-coding RNA. RefSeq lists it as uncharacterized. Lineage: Eukaryota; Metazoa; Chordata; Mammalia; Rodentia; Cricetidae. The transcript is spliced from 2 exons. The record is from RefSeq and is a predicted model, not a curated record.
UGUGUCUGUGAGCAUGAGUUCGUGUCAUGGAGAAUAAACUCCAUCAUCUCUGUGCUGCCACGGCAAGGGGCAUGCAACUCCGCCCUGCCUCUUUUGGCACAAGCAGGGGGAAUAACACACACUCAUCCCUCCCCACUAUACAGGGGGCAUGAUGAAACUUCCUGGAACACACUGCUGUCCUGUGAACAGAAGGAGCCUUGUCGGUGAGUUCCAGAGAGAAGAAAUCACUUCCGGACAGCAGAGUGAACUUAAGAGAGCGGCCGUGUGAAGAAGGAGAUGGCCAACUUGGUGUCCCACGGAUAGGAAGAGAGCAGGAGCUGACUUGUCGUCAAGUCAGAAUCACCUUGAUUUGUGCGGGGCUUUGCAUCAUGCUCUGGACCGCGUCAGACCUCCAUUUUGUCGACUUUCAGAUGUUCCCAUUUGCAAAACAGCCCAGAUUAAUUCCCCGAGAGUUACAAGGAAAGGAACCCGAGCAGAAAUUUCCCAAACAUGGCAGCCAGGAGCGAAGGCAUCGUGCGCACUACAGAGAUGGGGUUAAUCUGGUCAAGGUCCAAGCCCUGGCAGCUGAUGAAUUCUCGGCUGUAAAAACAGUUCUGUCCAGCUUGGCUUCCGUGGAGUCACCCUUAACUUGCAGAGCGGGGCUCCAGAAUGUAAGCUGUGCUUGGUGGAAACUGCUGACGGGACGCCGGUUCGCAACCAAACUGGGACCUUGAGAACAGGAUCACAGCCCCGGCACACUCUUCCCUACUGGCUGCAGCCGGGCAAGGGCGGAACCAGGCUCAGACGCACUGCUGGAACCACGAUGCUGCGGUUUUUUCUAAGAUAGCUCUUAGGAAAGCGUUUUUUACAUGCACCGCUCUCCUUCCAAACACCUCAACAAACUAUUUUUUCAACACCCGCAGAAUUUGUUUCAGCACGUGCCUACGGAAGGUUCAGUAAUAUGCGCAAACAUGACAACAAGGGGAAUAAAAAGCGUGUGGUCCCUUUAUGGGCGACGACGCCAGCAAAGAUUCCUCUCACAGUUACAGAUACCCCCACGAUGCUCAUAAGAUAUCUGUCAGCCAAUGGCAUUGAAAUCUCAAAUACUAUUAUUAUUAUUACUAA